GAAGGUAUAGCUCAAUGGUAGAGUGAGUGCCUAGCAUGCAUGAGGUCCUGGGUUCGGUCCCCAGUAUCUCUA
Molecule: transfer RNA, 72 nt
Organism: Camelus ferus (Wild Bactrian camel)
Lineage: Eukaryota; Metazoa; Chordata; Mammalia; Artiodactyla; Camelidae
Rfam family: tRNA
About the family: Transfer RNA (tRNA) molecules are approximately 80 nucleotides in length. Their secondary structure includes four short double-helical elements and three loops (D, anti-codon, and T loops).
Source: Rfam